This is a long non-coding RNA of Condylostylus longicornis, 1065 nucleotides long. RefSeq lists it as uncharacterized. NCBI's taxonomy places the organism in Eukaryota, Metazoa, Arthropoda, Insecta, Diptera, Dolichopodidae. The record is from RefSeq and is a predicted model, not a curated record. The transcript is spliced from 4 exons.
UAUUAAAUACUGCAGAGAGUUUGGUAAUUUUUUACAUUAUUUUUUUUUACUAAUGUUAGAAAUUAAAUAUGUUUUUUUUUAGCCUUGCUAAGUCAUAGAAUACUGGAAAUAUAUAUUUUUUAUUCCGUCUAGUCAGAAAAGGGAUCAAGUUCAAGUCUUGAAGUUAAGAUGAUUGCCUUGAAGGACCAAUACUAUAUUGUUUAAUGUUAUUUCAAUGACUGGUUGCUAAGCAUUCCUAAAAAACUUUGCCAAUUUCACGAUUUACUUGAUGAGUUAGUUUACACUUCUGUUUCUUAAUUACUCUGUCAAAAGCACAAAAAAAGUAUAAAAUGGAAAGCUCUUUUGAUGUUGUUCAGAGAAAGCUGUUUUGAUUCGUUAAUGGCAAACAAUAGAAAAUUUCAGCAUAAUAUCUAUACGUCAGCUAACGAUAGGCGUCUCAAGUCAAGCCAAGGUGGAACAGCAUUGGCGAUGAUUGCGUGACAACGUGGGAGUUAAGUCGUUAAUAUGCGAACUCUGAAUACCAGGCAUCUUCCAGUUUAAAUAAAGGUUCCCUUGGUAUACCGAACUCUGCCAUUAGUACUACACUUUUCUACGCUACUCGUGGGAACAACAUGGAACAAAAAAAAUUUAAUGGAAGGCUGUUUUGAUGUCACUCACUUAAUAAAUGCCAUGACAUGUUAUUAAUAAUAAUAAAAUUGAAGCUUCAUUAAUAUUAUAGCCCAACCGUAUACAUGUGCAUGGGUAUGUUUAUGAUGUGUUUUGACGAAACUUAAAAUGCAAUUAAUACACCGUUAUUUGAUAUAUAAUGCACUGUUUCUAAUUUGACAAUUUAAAAUGGCAUUUGAUGUAAAAAAAUUAAAAUACAGUAAAACUUAACACGGAAACCUGUCUAUAACGGAACAUUUGUAUGUUUUAAUUUGCAAUAAGAAUUGAAAAAAUACAUUGACACUAAAAAAAAAGUAUACAGUAAUAAAAGAAAAAGAAGAAAAUCAUUAGUAAAUUUGAAAAGUUACGCUCUUCAACAAAAUAAUUUUUUUACCAAUCUGUCAAAAGUCUUUCACAAAC